This 50-nucleotide transfer RNA is filed under the name Hemidactylus robustus. RNAcentral describes it as "partial tRNA-Leu". The record is from RNAcentral. Lineage: Eukaryota; Metazoa; Chordata; Lepidosauria; Squamata; Gekkonidae.
CACUUUCAAAGGACAGCAGCCGCCCAUUAAUUUUAGGAAUUAACACCCCU